UACGUAGGGACCGAGCGUUGUCCGGAUUCAUUGGGCGUAAAGAGCUCGUAGGCGGCUGUUCAAGUCGAACGUGAAAACUCGGAGCUCAACUCCGAGCCUGCGUUCGAUACUGGACGGCUAGAGUCUGGUAGGGGGAUCGUGGAAUUCCUGGGUGUAGCGGUGGAAUGCGCAGAUAUCAGGAGGAACACCGGUGGCGAAGGCGGGAUCCUGGGCCAGUACUGACGCUGAGGCGCGAAAGCUAGGGGAGCGAACGGG
Molecule: ribosomal RNA, 255 nt
Filed under: uncultured bacterium
Lineage: Bacteria
Description: partial 16S ribosomal RNA
Rfam family: Bacterial small subunit ribosomal RNA
Source: RNAcentral